This 424-nucleotide ribosomal RNA is filed under the name uncultured bacterium. RNAcentral's name for it is "bacterial SSU rRNA". It matches the Rfam family "Bacterial small subunit ribosomal RNA", at positions 506 to 929 of the family's 1533-position model. The record is from RNAcentral.
UGCCAGCAGCCGCGGUAAUACAGAGGGUGCAAGCGUUAAUCGGAUUUACUGGGCGUAAAGCGUGCGUAGGCGGUUUGCUAAGUCGGUUGUGAAAGCCCUGGGCUUAACCUGGGAAUUGCAGUCGAUACUGGCAGACUCGAGAACGGUAGAGGGAGGCGGAACUCCAGGUGUAGCGGUGAAAUGCGUAGAUAUCUGGAAGAACACCGAUGGCGAAGGCAACCUCCUGGGCCUGUUCUGACGCUGAGGCACGAAAGCGUGGGUAGCAAACAGGAUUAGAUACCCUGGUAGUCCACGCCGUAAACGAUGAGAACUUGACGUCGGCUCGCCUAGCGAGUCGGUGUCGAAGCUAACGCGCUAAGUUCUCCGCCUGGGGAGUACGGCCGCAAGGUUGAAACUCAAAGGAAUUGACGGGGGCCCGCACAAG